UCGGAUAUGGUGUAACGGCUAACAUUUGCGCCUCUCAUGUCAGUUUGCAAUGAGUAAUAUAACGCGCAAGCUCGGGGUUCGACUCCCCGUAUCCGAA
Non-coding RNA from Fistulina hepatica ATCC 64428, 97 nucleotides. NCBI's taxonomy places the organism in Eukaryota, Fungi, Basidiomycota, Agaricomycetes, Agaricales, Fistulinaceae. The record is from the annotation of a GenBank genome assembly.